GCUGUAGCUCAGUGGUUAGAGCAUCCGACCGGUGUACGGAAGGGCAUGGGUUCGACUCCCGUCGAGGACU
This 70-nucleotide transfer RNA is filed under the name Desmophyllum pertusum. RNAcentral describes it as "tRNA-Thr". The stretch from base 3 to 64 matches the Rfam family "tRNA", at positions 6 to 65 of the family's 71-position model. From Rfam's summary of the family: Transfer RNA (tRNA) molecules are approximately 80 nucleotides in length. Their secondary structure includes four short double-helical elements and three loops (D, anti-codon, and T loops). The record is from RNAcentral. Lineage: Eukaryota; Metazoa; Cnidaria; Anthozoa; Scleractinia; Caryophylliidae.